RNAcentral lists this ribosomal RNA (273 nucleotides) under uncultured bacterium. Its description in RNAcentral is "partial 16S ribosomal RNA". It matches the Rfam family "Bacterial small subunit ribosomal RNA", at positions 524 to 796 of the family's 1533-position model. The record is from RNAcentral.
UACGGGGGGGGCAAGCGUUGUUCGGAAUUACUGGGCGUAAAGGGCUCGUAGGCGGCCAACUAAGUCGGACGUGAAAUCCCCAGGCUCAACCUGGGAACUGCGUCCGAUACUGGAUGGCUUGAAUUCGGGAGAGGGAUGCAGAAUUCCAGGUGUAGCGGUGAAAUGCGUAGAUAUCUGGAGGAAUACCGGUGGCGAAGGCGGCAUCCUGGACCGACAUUGACGCUGAGGAGCGAAAGCUAGGGGAGCAAACGGGAUUAGAAACCCCCGUAGUCC